GAUGAACGCUGGCGGCGUGCCUAAUACAUGCAAGUCGAGCGAACAGACGAGGAGCUUGCUCCUCUGACGUUAGCGGCGGACGGGUGAGUAACACGUGGAUAACCUACCUAUAAGACUGGUAUAACUUCGGGAAACCGGAGCUAAUCCCGGAUAAUAUAUUGAACCGCAUGGUUCAAUAGUGAAAGACGGUUUUGCUGUCACUUAUAGAUGGAUCCGCGCGGCAUUAGCUAGUUGGUAAGGUAACGGCUUACUAAGGCAACGAGGCGUAGCCGACGUGAGAGGGUGAUCGGCCACACUGGAAGUGGGACACGGUCCAGGCUCCUACGGGAGGCAGCAGUAGGGAAUCUUCCGCAAUGGGCGAAAGCCUGGCGGAGCAACGCGGCGUGAGUGAUAAAGGUCUUCGGAUCGUAAAACUCUGUUAUUGGGGAAGAACAAAUGUGUAAGUAACUAUGCACGUCUUGACGGUACCUAAUCAGAAAGCCACGGCUAACUACGUG
Molecule: ribosomal RNA, 497 nt
Filed under: uncultured bacterium
Lineage: Bacteria
Description: partial 16S ribosomal RNA
Rfam family: Bacterial small subunit ribosomal RNA
Source: RNAcentral